UUUUCUGGUUGAUCCUGCCGGAGGUUACUGCUAUCGGUGUUCGCCUAAGCCAUGCGAGUCAUAUGUUCUUCGUGAACAUGGCGUACUGCUCAGUAACACGUGGAUAACCUGCCCUUGGGUCUGGGAUAACCCCGGGAAACUGGGGAUAAUACCGGAUAACGCAUAUAUGCUGGAAUGCUUUAUGCGUAAAAUGGAUUCGUCUGCCCAAGGAUGGGUCUGCGGCCUAUCAGGUAGUAGUGGGUGUAAUGUACCUACUAGCCUACAACGGGUACGGGUUGUGAGAGCAAGAGCCCGGAGAUGGAUUCUGAGACAUGAAUCCAGGCCCUACGGGGCGCAGCAGGCGCGAAAACUUUACAAUGCGGGAAACCGUGAUAAGGGGACACCGAGUGCCAGCAUCAUAUGCUGGCUGUCCAGAUGUGUAAAAAUACAUCUGU
This 434-nucleotide ribosomal RNA is filed under the name uncultured archaeon. RNAcentral describes it as "bacterial SSU rRNA". It matches the Rfam family "Archaeal small subunit ribosomal RNA", at positions 1 to 433 of the family's 1478-position model. The record is from RNAcentral.